UACCGCGAAGAACCUUACCUACUCUUGACAUCCAGAGAACUUUCCAGAGAUGGAUUGGUGCCUUCGGGAACUCUGAGACAGGUGCUGCAUGGCUGUCGUCAGCUCGUGUUGUGAAAUGUUGGGUUAAGUCCCGCAACGAGCGCAACCCUUAUCCUUGUUUGCCAGCGAGUAAUGUCGGGAACUCCAGGGAGACUGCCGGUGAUAAACCGGAGGAAGGUGGGGACGACGUCAAGUCAUCAUGGCCCUUACGAGUAGGGCUACACACGUGCUACAAUGGCGCAUACAGAGGGCAGCCAACUUGCGAAAGUGAGCGAAUCCCAAAAAGUGCGUCGUAGUCCGGAUUGGAGUCUGCAACUCGACUCCAUGAAGUCGGAAUCGCUAG
Molecule: ribosomal RNA, 382 nt
Filed under: Vibrio sp.
Lineage: Bacteria; Pseudomonadati; Pseudomonadota; Gammaproteobacteria; Vibrionales; Vibrionaceae
Description: bacterial SSU rRNA
Rfam family: Bacterial small subunit ribosomal RNA
Source: RNAcentral